Molecule: ribosomal RNA, 275 nt
Filed under: uncultured Methanomicrobiales archaeon
Lineage: Archaea; Methanobacteriati; Methanobacteriota; Methanomicrobia; Methanomicrobiales
Description: partial 16S ribosomal RNA
Rfam family: Archaeal small subunit ribosomal RNA
Source: RNAcentral
GCCAGCUCGUCCUCCGGGAUGUGGGGACGACUCGUUGGGACCGCCGCUGCUAAAGAGGAGGAAGGAAUGGGCAACGGUAGGUCAGCAUGCCCCGAAUUAUCUGGGCUACACGCGGGCUACAAUGGGUGGGACAAUGGGUAUCGACACCGAAAGGUGAAGGCCAAUCUCCUAAACCCAUCCGUAGUUCGGAUUGUGGGCUGCAACUCGCCCACAUGAAGCUGGAAUCUGUAGUAAUCGUGUCUCAAAAUGGCACGGUGAAUAUGUCCCUGCUCCUU